GCUCUUUUAGCUCAGUGGUAGAGCACUGGUCUCGUAAACCAGGGGUCGUGAGUUCAAACCUCACAAAGAGCA
This is a non-coding RNA of Glossina palpalis gambiensis, 72 nucleotides long. NCBI's taxonomy places the organism in Eukaryota, Metazoa, Arthropoda, Insecta, Diptera, Glossinidae. The record is from Rfam.